CCUACGGGUGGCAGCAGUGAGGAAUAUUGGUCAAUGGACGAGAGUCUGAACCAGCCAAGUAGCGUGAAGGAUGACUGCUCUAUGGGUUGUAAACUUCUUUUAUAUGGGAUUAAAAUGUUCCACGUGUGGGAUUUUGUAUGUACCGUAUGAAUAAGGAUCGGCUAACUCCGUGCCAGCAGCCGCGGUAAUACGGAGGAUCCGAGCGUUAUCUGGAUGUAUUGGGUUUAAAGGGAGCGUAGGUGGGUUGUUAAGUCAGUUGUGAAAGUUUGCGGCUCAACCGUAAAAUUGCAGUUGAAACUGGCAGUCUUGAGUACAGUAGAGGUGGGCGGAAUUCGUGGUGUAGCGGUGAAAUGCUUAGAGAUCACGAAGAACUCCGAUGGCGAAGGCAGUUCACUGGACUGCAACUGACACUGAGGCUCGAAAGUGUGGGUAUCAAACAGGAUUAGAUACCCCAGUAGUC
Molecule: ribosomal RNA, 460 nt
Filed under: uncultured bacterium
Lineage: Bacteria
Description: partial 16S ribosomal RNA
Rfam family: Bacterial small subunit ribosomal RNA
Source: RNAcentral